GAUCAUGGCUCAGGACGAACGCUGGCGGCGUGCCUAACACAUGCAAGUCGAACGAGAAUCUAUUAAUUGAUCCUUCGGGAUGAAGUUGAUAGAGGAAAGUGGCGGACGGGCGAGUAACGCGUGAGUAACCUGCCCAUAAGAGGGGGAUAAUCCAUGGAAACGUGGACUAAUACCGCAUAUUGAAUAUUUGCCGCAUGGCAGAUAUUUGAAAGAUUUAUCGCUUAUGGAUGGACUCGCGUCAGAUUAGCUAGUUGGUGAGGUAACGGCUCACCAAGGCGACGAUCUGUAGCCGAACUGAGAGGUUGAUCGGCCGCAUUGGGACUGAGACACGGCCCAGACUCCUACGGGAGGCAGCAGUGGGGAAUAUUGGGCAAUGGGGGCAACCCUGACCCAGCAACGCCGCGUGAAGGAAGAAGGCUUUCGGGUUGUAAACUUCUUUUACCAGGGACGAAGACGUGACGGUACCUGGAGAAAAAGCCACGGCUAACUACGUG
This 494-nucleotide ribosomal RNA is filed under the name uncultured bacterium. Its description in RNAcentral is "bacterial SSU rRNA". It matches the Rfam family "Bacterial small subunit ribosomal RNA", at positions 15 to 507 of the family's 1533-position model. The record is from RNAcentral.